RNAcentral lists this ribosomal RNA (1360 nucleotides) under Bacillus cereus. Its description in RNAcentral is "partial 23S ribosomal RNA". It matches the Rfam family "Bacterial large subunit ribosomal RNA", at positions 1555 to 2925 of the family's 2925-position model. Lineage: Bacteria; Bacillati; Bacillota; Bacilli; Caryophanales; Bacillaceae. RNAcentral also lists the same sequence under 13 other names. The record is from RNAcentral.
GCUGAGCUGUGAUGGGGAAGCUCCUUAUGGAGCGAAGUCUUUGAUUCCCCGCUGCCAAGAAAAGCUUCUAGCGAGAUAAAAGGUGCCUGUACCGCAAACCGACACAGGUAGGCGAGGAGAGAAUCCUAAGGUGUGCGAGAGAACUCUGGUUAAGGAACUCGGCAAAAUGACCCCGUAACUUCGGGAGAAGGGGUGCUUUCUUAACGGAAAGCCGCAGUGAAUAGGCCCAAGCGACUGUUUAGCAAAAACACAGCUCUCUGCGAAGCCGUAAGGCGAAGUAUAGGGGGUGACACCUGCCCGGUGCUGGAAGGUUAAGGAGAGGGGUUAGCGUAAGCGAAGCUCUGAACUGAAGCCCCAGUAAACGGCGGCCGUAACUAUAACGGUCCUAAGGUAGCGAAAUUCCUUGUCGGGUAAGUUCCGACCCGCACGAAAGGUGUAACGAUUUGGGCACUGUCUCAACCAGAGACUCGGUGAAAUUAUAGUACCUGUGAAGAUGCAGGUUACCCGCGACAGGACGGAAAGACCCCGUGGAGCUUUACUGUAGCCUGAUAUUGAAUUUUGGUACAGUUUGUACAGGAUAGGCGGGAGCCAUUGAAACCGGAGCGCUAGCUUCGGUGGAGGCGCUGGUGGGAUACCGCCCUGACUGUAUUGAAAUUCUAACCUACGGGUCUUAUCGACCCGGGAGACAGUGUCAGGUGGGCAGUUUGACUGGGGCGGUCGCCUCCUAAAGUGUAACGGAGGCGCCCAAAGGUUCCCUCAGAAUGGUUGGAAAUCAUUCGUAGAGUGCAAAGGCAUAAGGGAGCUUGACUGCGAGACCUACAAGUCGAGCAGGGACGAAAGUCGGGCUUAGUGAUCCGGUGGUUCCGCAUGGAAGGGCCAUCGCUCAACGGAUAAAAGCUACCCCGGGGAUAACAGGCUUAUCUCCCCCAAGAGUCCACAUCGACGGGGAGGUUUGGCACCUCGAUGUCGGCUCAUCGCAUCCUGGGGCUGUAGUCGGUCCCAAGGGUUGGGCUGUUCGCCCAUUAAAGCGGUACGCGAGCUGGGUUCAGAACGUCGUGAGACAGUUCGGUCCCUAUCCGUCGUGGGCGUAGGAAAUUUGAGAGGAGCUGUCCUUAGUACGAGAGGACCGGGAUGGACGCACCGCUGGUGUACCAGUUGUUCUGCCAAGGGCAUAGCUGGGUAGCUAUGUGCGGAAGGGAUAAGUGCUGAAAGCAUCUAAGCAUGAAGCCCCCCUCAAGAUGAGAUUUCCCAUAGCGUAAGCUAGUAAGAUCCCUGAAAGAUGAUCAGGUUGAUAGGUUCGAGGUGGAAGCAUGGUGACAUGUGGAGCUGACGAAUACUAAUAGAUCGAGGACUUAACCAU